UUAAGUUAAUAAGGGCGCACGGUGGAUGCCUUGGCACUAGGAGCCGACGAAGGACGUGACAAACGACGAUAUACCUUGGGUAGCUGUAAGUAAGCGAUGAUCCAGGGAUUUCCGAAUGGGGAACCCAACAGGUAAUACCUGUUACCCACAUCUGUUAAGGAUGUGAGGAGGAAGACGCAGUGAACUGAAACAUCUAAGUAGCUGCAGGAAGAGAAAGCAAAAGCGAUUGCCUUAGUAGCGGCGAGCGAAACGGCAGAAGGGCAAACCGAAGAGUUUACUCUUCGGGGUUGUAGGACUGCAGUGUGGACUCAAAGAUUAUAGAAGAAUGAUUUGGGAAGAUCAGCCAAAGAGAGUAAUAGCCUCGUAUUUAAAAUAGUCUUUGUACCUAGCAGUAUCCUGAGUACGGCGGGACACGUGAAAUCCCGUCGGAAUCUGGGAGGACCAUCUCCCAACCCUAAAUACUCCCUAGUGACCGAUAGUGAACCAGUACCGUGAGGGAAAGGUGAAAAGCACCCCGGGAGGGGAGUGAAAUAGAACCUGAAACCGUGUGCCUACAACAAGUUCGAGCCCGUUAAUGGGUGAGAGCGUGCCUUUUGUAGAAUGAACCGGCGAGUUACGUUAUGAUGCGAGGUUAAGUUGAAGAGACGGAGCCGUAGGGAAACCGAGUCUGAACAGGGCGAAUUAGUAUCAUGACGUAGACCCGAAACCAUGUGACCUACCCAUGAGCAGGUUGAAGGUGCGGUAAGACGCACUGGAGGACCGAACCAGGGCACGUUGAAAAGUGCUUGGAUGACUUGUGGGUAGCGGAGAAAUUCCAAACGAACUUGGAGAUAGCUGGUUCUCUCCGAAAUAGCUUUAGGGCUAGCGUCGACAUUAGAGAUUCUUGGAGGUAGAGCACUGUUUGGGUGAGGGGUCCAUCCCGGAUUACCAAUCUCAGAUAAACUCCGAAUGCCAAUGAAUUAUGGUCGGCAGUCAGACUGCGAGUGCUAAGAUCCGUAGUCGAAAGGGAAACAGCCCAGACCACCAGCUAAGGUCCCAAAAUAAUUGUUAAGUGGAAAAGGAUGUGGGGUUGCACAGACAACUAGGAUGUUAGCUUAGAAGCAGCUAUUCAUUCAAAGAGUGCGUAAUAGCUCACUAGUCGAGUGACCCUGCGCCGAAAAUGUACCGGGGCUAAAACAAUUUACCGAAGCUGUGGAUACCUUUAUAGGUAUGGUAGGAGAGCGUUCUAUGUGUGAUGAAGGUAUACCGUGAGGAGUGCUGGAACGCAUAGAAGUGAGAAUGCCGGUAUGAGUAGCGAAAGACAGGUGAGAAUCCUGUCCACCGUAAGACUAAGGUUUCCAGGGGAAGGCUCGUCCGCCCUGGGUUAGUCGGGACCUAAGGAGAGACCGAAAGGUGUAUCCGAUGGACAACAGGUUGAUAUUCCUGUACUAGAGUAUGUAGUGAUGGAGGGACGCAGUAGGCUAACUAAAGCAGACGAUUGGAAGAGUCUGUCUAAGCAGUGAGGUGUGAAUUGAGUCAAAUGCUUAAUUCUAUAACAUUGAGCUGUGAUGGGGAGCGAAGUUUAGUAGCGAAGUUAGUGACGUCACACUGCCAAGAAAAGCUUCUAGCGUUUAAACAUACUCUACCCGUACCGCAAACCGACACAGGUAGUCGAGGCGAGUAGCCUCAGGUGAGCGAGAGAACUCUCGUUAAGGAACUCGGCAAAAUGACCCCGUAACUUCGGGAGAAGGGGUGCUGACUUUAGGUCAGCCGCAGUGAAUAGGCCCAAGCAACUGUUUAUCAAAAACACAGCUCUCUGCUAAAUCGUAAGAUGAUGUAUAGGGGGUGACGCCUGCCCGGUGCUGGAAGGUUAAGAGGAGUGCUUAGCGUAAGCGAAGGUAUGAAUUGAAGCCCCAGUAAACGGCGGCCGUAACUAUAACGGUCCUAAGGUAGCGAAAUUCCUUGUCGGGUAAGUUCCGACCCGCACGAAAGGCGUAAUGAUUUGGGCACUGUCUCAACGAGAGACUCGGUGAAAUUUUAGUACCUGUGAAGAUGCAGGUUACCCGCGACAGGACGGAAAGACCCCAUGGAGCUUUACUGCAGUUUGAUAUUGAGUGUCUGUACCACAUGUACAGGAUAGGUAGGAGUCUAAGAGAUCGGGACGCCAGUUUCGAAGGAGACGCUGUUGGGAUACUACCCUUGUGUUAUGGCCACUCUAACCCAGAUAGGUGAUCCCUAUCGGAGACAGU
This 2228-nucleotide ribosomal RNA is filed under the name Streptococcus pneumoniae 5652-06. RNAcentral describes it as "bacterial LSU rRNA". It matches the Rfam family "Bacterial large subunit ribosomal RNA", at positions 3 to 2255 of the family's 2925-position model. The record is from RNAcentral. Lineage: Bacteria; Bacillati; Bacillota; Bacilli; Lactobacillales; Streptococcaceae.